Molecule: non-coding RNA, 29 nt
Filed under: Homo sapiens (human)
Lineage: Eukaryota; Metazoa; Chordata; Mammalia; Primates; Hominidae
Source: RNAcentral
UGCCAUAACAUGGUAAGAUUUGGGUUUGU